GGGGAAUAUUGCGCAAUGGGGGCAACCCUGACGCAGCAACGCCGCGUGCAGGAAGAAGGUCUUCGGAUUGUAAACUGUUGUCGCAAGGGAAGAAGACAGUGACGGUACCUUGUGAGAAAGUCACGGCUAACUACGUGCCAGCAGCCGCGGUAAUACGUAGGUGACAAGCGUUGUCCGGAUUUACUGGGUGUAAAGGGCGCGUAGGCGGACUGUCAAGUCAGUCGUGAAAUACCGGGGCUUAACCCCGGGGCUGCGAUUGAAACUGACAGCCUUGAGUAUCGGAGAGGAAAGCGGAAUUCCUAGUGUAGCGGUGAAAUGCGUAGAUAUUAGGAGGAACACCAGUGGCGAAGGCGGCUUUCUGGACGACAACUGACGCUGAGGCGCGAAAGUGUGGGGAGCAAACAGGAUUAGAUACCCUGGUAGUCCACACCGUAAACGAUGGAUACUAGGUGUAGGAGGUAUCGACCCCUUCUGUACCGCAGUUAACACAAUAAGUAUCCCACCUGGGGAGUACGACCGCAAGGUUGAAACUCAAAGGAAUUGACGGGGGCCCGCACAAGCAGUGGAGUAUGUGGUUUAAUUCGAAGCAACGCGAAGAACCUUACCUGGGCUUGACAUCCCUGGAAUCGAGUAGAGAUACUUGAGUGCCUUCGGGAAUCAGGUGACAGGUGGUGCAUGGUUGUCGUCAGCUCGUGUCGUGAGAUGUUGGGUUAAGUCCCGCAACGAGCGCAACCCCUAUUGUCAGUUGCCAUCAUUAAGUUGGGCACUCUGGCGAGACUGCCGGUGACAAAUCGGAGGAAGGUGGGGACGACGUCAAAUCAUCAUGCCCCUUAUGCCCAGGGCUACACACGUACUACAAUGGCCGAUAACAAAGUGCAGCGAAACCGUGAGGUGGAGCGAAUCACAAAACUCGGUCUCAGUUCAGAUUGCAGGCUGCAACUCGCCUGCAUGAAGUUGGAAUUGCUAGUAAUCGCGGAUCAGAAUGCCGCGGUGAAUACGUUCCCG
Molecule: ribosomal RNA, 1005 nt
Filed under: uncultured bacterium
Lineage: Bacteria
Description: bacterial SSU rRNA
Rfam family: Bacterial small subunit ribosomal RNA
Source: RNAcentral